AGAAAAGUAAGCUAAUCAAGCUAAUGGGUUCAUACCCCAUUAAUAGAGUGUAAACUCUCUUCUCUA
Molecule: transfer RNA, 66 nt
Filed under: Blaptica dubia (Argentinian wood cockroach)
Lineage: Eukaryota; Metazoa; Arthropoda; Insecta; Blattodea; Blaberidae
Description: tRNA-Met
Source: RNAcentral